Molecule: unclassified non-coding RNA, 240 nt
Filed under: soil metagenome
Description: partial contains 5.8S ribosomal RNA, internal transcribed spacer 2, and large subunit ribosomal RNA
Source: RNAcentral
AACAUCGCGCACCUGCGGGAACCUGCGGAAGGAUCAUUACAGAGUUGCAAAACUCCCUAAACCAUUGUGAACGUUACCUAAACCGUUGCUUCGGCGGGCGGCCCGGGUCCUUCCCGGCGCCCCUCGGCCCUCGCGGGCGCCCGCCGGAGGUAAACCAAACUAUUGCAUUGUAUGGCCUCUCUGAGUCUUCUGUACUGAAUAAGUCGAAACUUUCAACAAUGGAUCUCAGAUCGGAAGAGC